ACGCCAGCAAAAUCUGGCGUCGGGAUUAGGAACCCCGGAUAGAGACCGCGACAGACACACGCCGCGAGUGUGUUUUUU
Molecule: small RNA, 78 nt
Filed under: Escherichia coli
Lineage: Bacteria; Pseudomonadati; Pseudomonadota; Gammaproteobacteria; Enterobacterales; Enterobacteriaceae
Description: isrK
Rfam family: isrK Hfq binding RNA
Source: RNAcentral